This 293-nucleotide ribosomal RNA is filed under the name uncultured bacterium. Its description in RNAcentral is "partial 16S ribosomal RNA". It matches the Rfam family "Archaeal small subunit ribosomal RNA", at positions 455 to 747 of the family's 1478-position model. The record is from RNAcentral.
GUGCCAGCCGUCGCGGUAAUACCGGCAGCCCAAGUGAUGGCCGCUGUUAUUGGACCUAAAGCGUCCGUAGCUGGCCGCACGAGUCCGUCGGGAAAUCCGCCCGCUCAACGGGCGGCCGUCCGGCGGAACCUGUGUGGCUUGGGACCGGGAGGCCUGAGGGGUACGAUCGGGGUAGGAGUGAAAUCCUGUAAUCCCGCUCGGACCGCCGAUGGGGAAACCACCUCGGGAAGACGGACCCGACAGUGAGGGACGAAAGCUGGGAUCUCGAACCGGAUUAGAAACCCCUGUAGUCC